GACGAACGCUGGCGGCGUGCCUAAUACAUGCAAGUAGAACGCACAGUUUAUACCGUAGCUUGCUACACCAUAGACUGUGAGUUGCGAACGGGUGAGUAACGCGUAGGUAACCUGCCUGGUAGCGGGGGAUAACUAUUGGAAACGAUAGCUAAUACCGCAUAAUAUUAAUUAUUGCAUGAUAAUUAAUUGAAAGGUGCAAUUGCACCACUACCAGAUGGAACUGCGUUGUAUUAGCUAGUAGGGGAGGUAACGGCUCACCUAGGCGACGAUACAUAGCCGACCUGAGAGGGUGAUCGGCCACACUGGGACUGAGACACGGCCCAGACUCCUACGGGAGGCAGCAGUAGGGAAUCUUCGGCAAUGGACGAAAGUCUGACCGUGCAACGCCGCGUGAGUGAAGAAGGUUUUCGGAUCGUAAAGCUCUGUUGUAAGAGAAGAACGGGUGUGAGAGUGGAAAGUUCACACUGUGACGGUAUCUUACCAGAAAGGGACGGCUAACUACGUG
Molecule: ribosomal RNA, 505 nt
Filed under: uncultured bacterium
Lineage: Bacteria
Description: partial 16S ribosomal RNA
Rfam family: Bacterial small subunit ribosomal RNA
Source: RNAcentral